Molecule: long non-coding RNA, 1056 nt
Organism: Cyprinus carpio (common carp)
Lineage: Eukaryota; Metazoa; Chordata; Actinopteri; Cypriniformes; Cyprinidae
Source: Ensembl
GAUGAUGCAUCAGGGGAAAACCCUGGGUGUCUGGAUAAAAAUGAAAAAUGAGAGCACAUGCUUGCAAACAGAAGGCAGAAAAUAACUUCACCAAGCUAAUUUUAUUGCAUUACAAUUAGUAAUUCAAGCAUUAAAAUACACUGUGAUCCAAAAACUAAUUUGGAUAUAUAGACUACCCUUAAAAAUUUAUGAAUGACUUUGAAUUAUAUAACAAAAUAUUAAAUCAAGCAGGACUGUGAUAGCAAAGCUGAUUUUUCAGAGGCCGUUAUUCAAAAGAACAGAAAUUAUUUGAAAUAGAAAUAUUUUGUAUUAAUUGACAGUAAAAUAUAUUUUACUAUCAUUUAAUGCAUCUUUGCUGAAUAAAAUUAUUAAUUUCCUUUAAAAAUCUGAUAAAUAAAUUAUGAGAAUUAGCUGAUACCACUUAGUUUGUUAUUUUGAAAUCCAGUGCAACAUUUAUACAUUUUUAGGUUUGUCUCUUGUCUAAAUGUCUCCAAAUUCAGUUUCUGUGGCCACUGUAUGCACAAUGCCAUUCGUUUGUGUAUUUGUUAUAUCUUUUAAACUUUCAGUCUUUUGUCUUUUUAGAAGCUGGGAUGCAUCACCUGUUAUCCGCUGUGGUCCUCCUCAGGGACUACAGGUGUUCACAUACGACAUGCUGCUCAAAGGAGGACAGCUGGUCAGUGAUCAGGGAGAGGCUAUGACGUGAUGCUGAAGAAUAUCUUGAUGGCUGAAAUUAUGCCUAUAGUGGAGGAAUUUGACCAGCAGAAAAAUAAUGGUCACAGGUUUAUCUAAUUACCAUUCUUCAGCAACCAAGUAAUAACUGUGUUUGUUUGGGACCAGACCUGUGACAAUUCAUGAGGCCAUAACUGGUGAGGAUUCACCCUGAGACCGAAUAGUAAAUAUUUCCUUUCAGCCAUGAUCUAUUGGAAAUAGUAAACGUGUAGACCCUUAUCCGUGAACUCCAACAAUACUUAGAUUACAAAGGGAAGACCUAGAGACUUGCAUAAUGUGUACUGUGAAAACUGAUAUGUAGGCUUACAACUGUGAAAUGAUUGUCUA